ACAGUCUGGGGAAAGGCUCCUGUGUUGCUGAACCUACUCAGCGGUGAGUGCGGCCCAAACCAGGCAGCCCAACCUGACCCACAGUAAAUCCCCAAGAGAGUGUUGCCUGGGUUUUGAAUUCGCAGUUACAGGUGUGAACAUUAUAGCAGCAGUUUGAUGAUCAUGUAUGAUACUGCAAACAAGA
Molecule: non-coding RNA, 184 nt
Organism: Phyllostomus discolor (pale spear-nosed bat)
Lineage: Eukaryota; Metazoa; Chordata; Mammalia; Chiroptera; Phyllostomidae
Product: small Cajal body-specific RNA 16
Exons: 1
Source: RefSeq, a predicted model, not a curated record